This is a long non-coding RNA of Mustela erminea (ermine), 1601 nucleotides long. RefSeq lists it as uncharacterized. The record is from RefSeq and is a predicted model, not a curated record. The transcript is spliced from 3 exons. NCBI's taxonomy places the organism in Eukaryota, Metazoa, Chordata, Mammalia, Carnivora, Mustelidae.
UUCCGAGGCGGGGACCAGGCCGGAAGCAAGUUUUUCAGGCAAGAGCCUUUCCUCCAGCCUCCCUCCUCUUCGGACCAGGGUACUCGGCCACACACCCCAACUCUGCCUGACGGCCCUGCCCCCCCAUUUCCGGAGCCCGCGGCCCGCGACCCCGGCCGGGGCUGGCCGCAGGGCGAAGGCCCGGAUUCCCGUCCUCCCCGGCCCUCCCUUACCUCCGCGGGGGCGCUCCGGCCGCCCGCCCCGAGCCACGGGCCGCGGGGGAGGAGGGCACCCACCUGGGCAGUGUCACAUGCUGUCUCGGCCCGAGAGUCCCCUCCGGGUCCCCGGCGCCGGCCGGCCGUCCCCAGCGCAGGCCCGGCCGCCCCAGCCGCCCCACCCGCGGCCCGCCCCUCCCCGCCCGGCCGGGAGGGAGGGAUCCGACUCUCCUCGGAAGUUUCAGCUGUGCCACAUUCUGAAUGGAGGUAGUAGCAUAGUUGAUCUAGCCAGUCUCCUAUGGAGGUAGCCCCAUCAGGUUGGCAGAACAAGCAAUGCUGCCGUGAGUGACCUCGGCAUCUGUCGCUUUGCACAUGUGCCAGUCCACCUGUAGGAUAUAUUCCUGGAAGCUGACUUGCUGGAUCCGAUGAGACUUCAAUGGCAGCUGAAAAAUUUGGUGUGGCCACAGUUUUCAGAAGAAGUAACGAUUACAAUAGGUGAAAUUGCAGUGGGAGUCCCAGCCUCGCUCCCUCCCCAGGCUCUCUGGGUAUUUAGGACUCUCGUAACCAGACAGAUCCCCAAGCACCGGGGAUUCACAGUCGAGCCGGUAUAAGUACAUCUGCAUAUGAAGUUUAUCUAUGAUUGUGAAACCCAAGAUUGUCUUGAUAGAGAAAUUCUGAGUAUCUAAAGACAGUAGAGAGAGGUGAUCGUAAGCCCAGGCUGCUGCUAAAAUUAUACGGAAUAGGCGUCGGCUUCGCAAAAGGGCAAAUAGCCCCGUGAGGCCGUCACUCUCUCAGCAGAGCCGCCGCAGCGCACAGAAAGAAACCCGCUGCACACACACUAACCACCCGUUCUGCUGGACCUCACGGAGAAGGAUCCAACCGCCCAGGCAUGGAGUGCUGCAUGUCUUCUGCAUGCCAGGAGAUUCGAUCCCUUAGAACUCUCACUUGUGACCAACUUCAGUCAUUACUUCCUCCUGCUCCUCCAGUUCGGUGCAUAUACCACGGGGAUAUCAUUUUGGACAGCUAGAAAUUCAGCCUUUCCAUUCCCCCUGCCCUCUUAAAGUAUCAGCUGUCCAGUUUCCCAUCACAGCCUACUUUCUGGGUAGAAAAGAUCAUAAAACUGUCUAAUUUGGGUGCCCCCAAUUUAACCCUUUUGCCCAGUUAUAUCUUUGUUCAGACACUGUCCUUUGGCUCUUCUCUGGUAACUUCCUUCGAACUGAACUGUCCUUGAUCUGUUUUACAAGGGGUUGGGUAAAAAAGUACAGAGAGAAAGUAGGGAAGGGGAGAAUAAAGGUAAGAGAAGAUAACUGAUGCAUCUCUCUACUCUAGGACUAAGAGCAAUGUUUAGAACUUCUCAGUUUAAAAGGUACUGAGAAGUAUAUUACCUUUUCUGAAGCUCACAAUGUC